GCUGGGCGUGGUGGUGCACGCCUGUAGUCCCAGCUACUCAGGAGGCUGAGGCAGGAGAAUUGCUUGAACCCAGGAGGCAUAGGUUGCAGUGAGCCAAGAUCAUGCCACUGCACUCCAGCCUGGGCGACACAGCAAGACUCCAUCUCAA
Molecule: non-coding RNA, 148 nt
Filed under: Gorilla gorilla gorilla (western lowland gorilla)
Lineage: Eukaryota; Metazoa; Chordata; Mammalia; Primates; Hominidae
Source: Rfam by way of RNAcentral